UACAGAGGUCCCAAGCGUUGUUCGGAUUCAUUGGGCGUAAAGGGUGCGUAGGCGGCGCGGUAAGUCGGGUGUGAAAACUCGAGGCUCAACUUCGAGCUGUCGGUGGAAACUUUCUGGCUAGAGUCCGGAAGAGGAGAAUGGAAUUCCUGGUGUAGCGGUGAAAUGCGCAGAUAUCAGGAGGAACACCAAUGGCGAAGGCAGCACUCUGGGACGUGACUGACGCUGAGACGCGAAAGCGUGGGGAGCAAACAGG
RNAcentral lists this ribosomal RNA (253 nucleotides) under uncultured bacterium. RNAcentral's name for it is "partial 16S ribosomal RNA". It matches the Rfam family "Bacterial small subunit ribosomal RNA", at positions 524 to 776 of the family's 1533-position model. The record is from RNAcentral.